CAGCACCUCAAGUGGUCAGGAUGAUUAUUGGGCCUAAAGCAUCCGUAGCCGGCGCUGGAAGUUUUCGGUUAAAUCUGUACGCUCAACGUACAGGCUGCCGGGAAUACUGCAGCGCUAGGGAGUGGGAGAGGUAGACGGUACUCGGUAGGAAGGGGUAAAAUCCUUUGAUCUAUUGGUGACCACCUGUGGCGAAGGCGGUCUACCAGAACACGUCCGACGGUGAGGGAUGAAAGCUGGGGGAGCAAACCGGAUUAGAUACCCGAGUAGUCC
Molecule: ribosomal RNA, 270 nt
Filed under: uncultured archaeon
Lineage: Archaea
Description: partial 16S ribosomal RNA
Rfam family: Archaeal small subunit ribosomal RNA
Source: RNAcentral